GGGCGCAUAGUUUAAUGGUAAAACGCUCCGUUCACAUCGGAGAGAGUAUAAGUUCGAUUCUUAUUGCGCCCA
This 72-nucleotide transfer RNA is filed under the name Patescibacteria group bacterium. RNAcentral describes it as "tRNA-Val". It matches the Rfam family "tRNA". From Rfam's summary of the family: Transfer RNA (tRNA) molecules are approximately 80 nucleotides in length. The record is from RNAcentral. RNAcentral also lists the same sequence under 1 other name.